Molecule: long non-coding RNA, 3189 nt
Organism: Melospiza melodia melodia
Lineage: Eukaryota; Metazoa; Chordata; Aves; Passeriformes; Passerellidae
Exons: 5
Source: RefSeq, a predicted model, not a curated record
UUCAGGUGUUCGUAUAGAAUGUCUCUUCAUCGUAUUUUAUUGAGAUGUCCAAUGCCUCACACCUUGCUUCUGUGCUAUGUAAUGCUACCUAGGAAGGAUCUUUUUCCAGGAGCAAUAUCCUCCAUGGCUUGAGGAAGAGUCCACUAAAUCGAGUUGCCAUAUUAGGUACAAUUUUCCUUAAAUUGCCUUCACUAUCUCCAGGGCAACUUAACUGCUUUUAGAGGAUAAGGGAGGCAUGGCAGCAGGCACUUCCUUAUCUUCAGGUCACUUGCAUUAUUGCCUUUUAUCUGUUGGAGUUGUAGCCCUGCAGUUUUGCCACACUUUCUACCACUUUAUACAGCUGAAAACCUCAAGUAUAUAGGCCGGAAUAUGUAAUGUGUAAUAAAUAAUAAGCAAAAAAUAAAUUUAAAAAGCCUUCAUACCAAAUGUGGUUUGGAUUGUAGUCUGCAGAAAGCUGUCAUCCAAAGAAGCUUAUGGAAGGUGGACUUCGCACUCCAGGCACCUUGGAAGAUUCACCCAAACUGAAAUUUUCCAUAAACUUCAGUCUAUGAUGAGCAAUGGAGUUUGACAAGGAUUUGCCAGGGAAAGUGUCAUUUUGGAGACUGUUUGCACUGGAUGAGCCCUUUGCUUUCUGUGGCUGCAGAGGUCUAGCAGUAAACGUUUGAAAGAUGGAUUUGUUACACCAUCAGAACAAACUCAGUCAACUGAGCAAAGCUACUUUGUGCAGAAUAUAUCUUACUUCUGACAGCACUCAGCUCUUUCCCUGUUUGCAAACAUCUUCCUGCUGAGACAGAAAGAAGUGCUUUGUCCAUCGGCCUCUCCCUUUUACUUUAAGCUCACAUGGAUCAGCAUUGUACAAAUGUGAGUUUCAACACUGCAGAACUAGAAUUUCCACCAGAAACCCAGAACAUAUAUAUAUAUACAAAUUUCUGAACCAGCUAAGAACUACAUGAAGACACAGUUGAAGAAGUAUUACCAGGAAAUUAUCUUCAGUCAUCCUGAAGAGCAAGAAAAUUUGUGCAGAACUUUUUAGCCAACAGCACUGAAGUUUGUGAAUGAAUGCCAAAAGUCAAACAACAAACAAAAGUAUUAGAAACAAAAAUACAAACUAGCAAUGAUUUAUAAUGUAUUAUUGCUUUGAAAAUAUUAUAUAGGUUAAAAGGAAGAGCUAGUAUGGCUCUUCCUUUGACAUGCAGAUCUGUGUAUGUCAGGAAGCUUUGAAACUGGACCCUGGGCUGAAACUGGUCUGAAACAUGGAAAUUUCAAGUCCUCUUGAAUAUAACAUAUGGAAUAAUUUUUACUGGAUUGUCACAUAUGAUGAAGAAACAAAGACUAGGAUGUAAAGCCAUUGAAAAAAAAGUGGAAAAAUCCACUUGGAUCAUCAAGAUGAGUCUUCUACGUGAAAUGAAGCAAUGUACAUGAGAAACAGUAAGUCCUGCAUCUUUUACAAGACAGGGAACACCUGAACUUUGCUGAAAACUAAAAUAGCUUGUCAGGGAAAAAAUUACCUAGCAGUUCAAACAUGUUAAUCUGCAAGCAAUAAUCUUGGGUAUCCCCAAACCAAAAAUGGCAUCAGAUUAUAAUUCCAUUUUUCCCCCAUUUCCUUAUUUCCACACAAGACUGAAAUGAUUUUAUUGAGCCUUCUCAAAUGGAUAAAGCAGGUCAAUUUUAAAUUCAAACUCCAGACUUGAAGGAGAAUGCCAGGGAUAUAUUUAGAACAAUCAUGUUGUCAGUGAAAGCUUUGGAAGUCUAGCUAAGAAACUGAAGGGAUGGUGCUGUGAUCACAGGAGAAAAAAAAAAAACAAAACAGUCUAGGAUGCAACUGCUUAAAACUUCACACAGUUAUCCACGGACAUAUUUUUAGUACUGUAAGUCACUUAAACCAGUUUUUUCGAGCAACUGUAAAUUACAUUAAUACCUUUCAGGCUUUGUGUUGUUUAUUAAAUGCAGUGUCCAGGGGUUCAGUUAAAUGAAUAGCUCAGUGAACUUUCUCAGCUCUUUAGUUAAAACACCCAGAAACUUUCUACACAUGAAUCAUCACGUUGGAUUUACUGAACCCUGAGGUAUGUGCAUAUACCCGUUGCUGCACUAGCCACAUUAUUCCCUGUGGGAUCUCUUUUUCCUGUAAUCUUAUAAUUACUAAGGACUACUCCAUUAGUCACUUAAGAGGUAAUUUUAAGAGAUAAUUUUCUUACAAAUAUGUAUCAGUAAGGCAGCCAAAAGGAACUUUCCAUUUCCACUAGUCCUGAGAACAAGCACUGUCCCCAAUAUUUCUAGUAGCAUAUAUUCAACAGUUAGACCAAGGGGCAAACACCCAACACAGAGUUUAUUAUUCUACUUAUAUUUUACAGUUUUUAGAUUUUCAAAGCACUUGGGCAAAGCCUAUUUGGCCAUUAUUUGUGGGAGGGUGUACAUCUCUACUGUUUCCUGUGCUAGACUGUGUCUGAAGGUACAGAUUUUGAUGUACUGAAGUUUAUCAUACAGUUUAGUAGCAUGCUUUAGUAACAUUGACAAUUGGGUGUUUGUCCUGGACAUUUUUCACUGACCUGAUAAGACUAGGAAUGGAUCUCUCUCAAAUGGCUUCCUCACUUGUUGAUCUCCCUUCUGCUCUUAUUUCCACCUAAAGAUAGAAAAAUCAAGAAAUUUACCAAAAGAGGGGUAACAUAUCAAAGGAAUAUCUAAAAUUCCUGUAAAUGGAUAAAAUUCCCAAGGAAUAAAUGGUACCUGAGUAACCAGAGUUAUGACAAACUAGAAAAAGCCACAGGAGAGUACAGUGUCAUACUGUCCUGGUUUCAGCUAGGAUAGAGUUAACUGUCUUCUUGGUAGCUGGUACAGUUUUGACUUCAGCAUGAGAAUAAUGUUGAUAGCACACUAAUGUUUGAGUUCCUGAGCGAUGUUUACCCAAAGUCAAGGACCUUUCAGUGUCUCAUGUUUUGCCAGUGAGCAGGUGCACAAGAAGCUGGGAGGAGCAUAGUCAGGACAGCUGACCUAAGGUGUCCAAGGGGAUAUUCCAUACUCAGAACAGCAUGCUCAGUAUAUGAGCUGGGGGAGCUGGCCAGGAGCUGCUGAUCCCUGCUCAAGGAUGGGCUGGGCAUCAGGCAGCAGAUGGCGAGCAAUUGUAUUGCUCAUCACUUGUUUCUCUUGGGAUUUAUUCCUCUCUGUCUCCUUUUCAUUACUACUAUUACUGUU